GCCGUCGUGAUGAGAAGCGCAGGGGUCCAGACCUCAGCCGACAAUGGGGGCUGAGCGCCGUCGCCUGCGUC
RNAcentral lists this small nucleolar RNA (71 nucleotides) under Hippocampus comes (tiger tail seahorse). Its description in RNAcentral is "Small nucleolar RNA SNORD94 (ENSHCOG00000007297.1)". The record is from RNAcentral. Lineage: Eukaryota; Metazoa; Chordata; Actinopteri; Syngnathiformes; Syngnathidae.